UUUACCAAUGCCGAAGACAGUAGGUGCCGCAAGGCGUAAACAUAGUGCCUACCGAGGAAUUAGUUAAACAUAAGAUUUUACUACCUCUCUGUCUUUGGAUAGAGAGGUUUUUUACUUAU
Molecule: small RNA, 119 nt
Filed under: uncultured Eubacterium sp.
Lineage: Bacteria; Bacillati; Bacillota; Clostridia; Eubacteriales; Eubacteriaceae
Description: Ribosomal protein L10 leader
Rfam family: Ribosomal protein L10 leader
About the family: This family is a putative r-protein leader autoregulatory structure found in B. subtilis and other low-GC Gram-positive bacteria. It is located in the 5' untranslated regions of mRNAs encoding ribosomal proteins L10 and L12 (rplJ-rplL).
Source: RNAcentral